Alligator mississippiensis (American alligator) is the source of this 2162-nucleotide long non-coding RNA. RefSeq lists it as uncharacterized. NCBI's taxonomy places the organism in Eukaryota, Metazoa, Chordata, Crocodylia, Alligatoridae. The transcript is spliced from 2 exons. The record is from RefSeq and is a predicted model, not a curated record.
CCGAAUACGGCAAGCAGGAUUUUGCCCCGUGUUCAUGUGCCGGCCACAAACACGACCGAGCACCGUGUCCAGACCCAAAAACCAGCCUGUUGUCACGGACGGCGAUUACGCCUCUAUCUCCUGCGCUCGGUUUGCUCCAGCUCGGGGUCCCCGCGCUUUGCCGUUUGCAGCAUUUACUUUAAGUUAGACACGCAGCAAACAAUAUAUAUAUUUUUUCCCAGUUUCUUACAGAGAAAAACUUGGUCUCUUUUCUGGAAUGUAACCAGGGCAUGCUUCACAGUUAUAUUUUUUUAAUCUCUUAAAUUGGAGCACGCUUUUGGCUUCCAUGCAAUACUGACCCUGCAUUUUUUAGUGUAUUUUUAAUUAGUAAGUUUAGACACCGCAUACCAGCGCUGCACGGAUUGAGGGUCCUGUACUGAAAAUCACUUGGUCGGAGCUCCCUGCCCACGGACUCUCUCUCAGGCCAGCGACAGCAGGAGGACGAAUCCUGCGCUCCGAUGUAAACCCCAACACCGCUGACAUGCAAGAAUUGCCUCCUCAAAUUCAGAAAUCGCCUUCGAAGCAAUCUCCGUGUUAGCAGUGACUACACAUCCUCCGAAUCAACCUCGCGUCUCCUUGCAGAGCCCGUGGAAGGAUCUCCUCUGCCACCCUUUACGCAGGCUGCGUGGGGAUGAAUUCCUGCCGGCAUGGGGGCAAGCGCCGGGUUUGCAGCCUGGUCUCUGGCUAUUCUGGUGACGUCAUUUGCAGAAAUAACAGUAAUGCUUCCUAAACUUUCCCAGUGACUCAUUUAUUUCACAUAACUGUGUACCAAAUUGUUUGGAGGUGCUAUUAAAAACGGGUUUUGCUAAGGAUUGUUAACAUGGCCAGUUGGUUUGAUGUAAAGGAGUGCAUCGAAUCCUCAGCAAAAAUAGCAGAGCAUUUCAGACACUUUCUUUACAUUUAUACUGGAUGCUGUAAAUGAAUCAUUACUCCAUAUUCUGAGCGAGUUCUUAUGCUGCUCCCCAUCUCUGAGCCCUGCGCAGUUUUUAGGCUAUUUGUUCAAGGCAAACGAAGAAGGAUUGUGCCAGUCUUUAGCAGAGGCAAAGAGCAGAGGGGAACGCUAACGCUGCCGAAUUCACCGUGCUCAGAAUCUGAACAUCUGUACUGCGGAGCGCAACAAUGAGACUGGGGCUCCGCAGCUAAAACAACAACAAUAAAAAACUAUGAAACUGAAAACAAAACAGAGGCUUCCUGCCAGUAAAUGGUUAUGCUCGGGUCUGUGUGGCAGAGGCUGAGAGCUCAAGCCAUCUCUCGUGCCACGAACCCUGCCUGCAUUCCACAGCCCGCUCGGCACAGGAACGCUCCUCUCCGCUGGAAAAGCAACGAACGGUCACAAAAAUGGGGGAGACGUUUCCUAAUCGGGAGUUUUUGUUUUGUUUUCAACGUAAAAGCUAACUGGGAAACACCAGCCUAUUGUUCCGCUCUCCAGAAAGCAGUUCCAAAAUCGGGCAAGCCUAAAAUUUAGCAUAGUAAUGAUGCCCAACUGAAUUUCUUUUGUCUCUCUGCUUAUGCUCCGUUCCAGGUUGAUUUCGCUUCAAAAAUAAGUGUACUCGCUGACAAAGAAAGGCCCAGAGAUCAGGAACAGCAGAAAUACAUGCCAGAAAUCUAUGCUAAUGUUUCACGGCAUCCAGCGUGGAUGCUUAAAACAAUGCCUGACACGUCCUGGUGCUCGGGAGAAAAGCCCAUGUAUUUCCCCUCUUGCCCUGAGCAAACACCAACUGUUAAUGCGAACGAAAAAUUCUGGAACAUCAGCUAAUGCUGGCAGGUCCCCAUUUGCAGGGACUGUGAAAGGAGGAACUCUUUUGCCACCUUUGCUUUUCAGAGAUACAACAGGAGGACACAUUUUUCUACACACGGCAGACGCAGACAAAGACUGCCCACAGCACCCAAGCCCCGACGAGCCCCGAGCGCUGGGAACCGGAGUGAACGCUGUUACCAAACAGCACAAAACCAGACACAGCCUUUAUGUAACGCUGCACAUUUAGAUCACAACGGCACGCCAAGUCCAACCAUGAUUAAAUGAAGGGAGGAGAGUGCCAAGCUGAUAUUUUAAAUCAUGAACGGUUUUGAAGCAGGAAACUUCACCCUACAUUUCUAAUAAAUACUUUCUUUUAAGCAAAUAA